Carassius auratus (goldfish) is the source of this 482-nucleotide long non-coding RNA. RefSeq lists it as uncharacterized. The transcript is spliced from 3 exons. Lineage: Eukaryota; Metazoa; Chordata; Actinopteri; Cypriniformes; Cyprinidae. The record is from RefSeq and is a predicted model, not a curated record.
UUUAAAUUCUUACUCUGCAUUCAGCUGUUGUUAGGGUGACAAAGUUUCAAAUGUAUAUUUUAGGUCUUCCUCAUCUAUAUUUAAUUUAUUGCUCGUCAUUGUUAAAACGAUUGAGAUGCCAAUCAAAGCGCACAGCAGCCAAUCGAAGGCUUUAGAUUAGUCACGCUUGUUAAGUUCACGUGCUCGUGACUGAAUUCACCGCGUUCACGGAGUCUCUCGUCUUAAACAACAAAUAGUGUUUUAGCGACAUAAAUGAAUUUCAUCGGAUCACAACCCUUCCUUUACACUCCAAAAUUCAUGUCCAAACUGGAUCUGUUCUCUGAUGAUCUGCUAAAAGUGUUUUCCAAAAAAGGGUGGAGUGUUUAGAAAAAAGAUUCAAGAUGUGAUGCUGCCAAUGUCUCAGACCAAGCAAGAGUGCAUUCUCAAGGGGCUAUGCAUCUACCUGAAUGAAGAUGAAUAUGAUGGAGUAUUUGGUGAGUUCU